Molecule: long non-coding RNA, 611 nt
Organism: Labrus mixtus (cuckoo wrasse)
Lineage: Eukaryota; Metazoa; Chordata; Actinopteri; Labriformes; Labridae
Exons: 3
Source: RefSeq, a predicted model, not a curated record
GUGGAAUUGAGCCACCUUUUGGGCAACACAGCUUAAAACCCAAAGCUUGGAAAUUGUGCAAAGUAAUUAGAAUAAAUCCCGUCACAAUUAACUUCUUAUCUGGGCCAUUUCAGAGAAAAGUCUGUUAAGGAAGAUGCAACCUUUGCUCCUCCAAAUACGAUUAUCAACCUACUCUGACUUCUAAUGGAUGGCAGAGCCGUUAAAAUCAAGUCAGAAAUAUGGGCUGACCGCCCCAACCAUUUUGACUUCAAUUGUUGAAGAAAUAGACAAAAAAGACUACAUCUGUAUACACAAGACAUUAUAGAAAUAUAGAAAAAUGCCAUAUGUCAGAGGACCAAAUCAAAGGCAAUGAAGACUGUAAAAACCAGUCUGGGUAAUGUGAUAUUAGGACUUAUGUUGUAGUUUAGGGAACAAUAAAUGUUCUCUCAGCAUGAACCCAAAAUAUGAUGACUUGGAUCUAUGUAUUUCUGUUUACACAAAAACAAUCAUUAUUUCAUUGUGAAUUAUAUUGAGAUAGAGUUUAAAAGCAAGCAGAAAAAUUAGACUUAAUAAAGGACAGAAGACCACAAAUAUAUUUAUUCAUGUGCCUACAAAUGUUUGUAUACCAUGCA